GAUGAACGCUGGCGGCGUGCCUAAUACAUGCAAGUCGAGCGAACGGAUAAGGAGCUUGCUCCUUUGAAGUUAGCGGCGGACGGGUGAGUAACACGUGGGUAACCUACCCAUAAGACUGGAAUAACUUCGGGAGACCGGAGCUAAUGCCGGAUAACAUUUGGAACUGCAUGGUUCUAAAGUAAAAGAUGGUUUUGCUAUCACUUAUAGAUGGACCCGCGCCGUAUUAGCUAGUUGGUAAGGUAACGGCUUACCAAGGCAACGAUACGUAGCCGACCUGAGAGGGUGAGCGGCCACACUGGAACUGAUACCCGGUCCAGACUCCUACGGGAGGCAGCAGUAGGGAAUCUUCCGCAAUGGACGAAAGUCUGACGGAGCAACGCCGCGUGAGUGAUGAAGGUUUUCGGAUCGUAAAACUCUGUUAUUAGGGAAGAACAAAUGUGUAAGUAACUGUGCACAUCUUGACGGUACCUAAUCAGAAAGCCACGGCUAACUACGUGCCAGCCGCCGCCGUAA
Molecule: ribosomal RNA, 513 nt
Filed under: uncultured bacterium
Lineage: Bacteria
Description: partial 16S ribosomal RNA
Rfam family: Bacterial small subunit ribosomal RNA
Source: RNAcentral